This is a non-coding RNA of Stegodyphus mimosarum, 73 nucleotides long. NCBI's taxonomy places the organism in Eukaryota, Metazoa, Arthropoda, Arachnida, Araneae, Eresidae. The record is from Rfam.
GUCUUCGUAGUGUAGUGGUCAGCACGCUCGACGCGUAAUCUAGAGGUCCGUGGUUCGAGUCUCGGCGAAGGAA